This 253-nucleotide ribosomal RNA is filed under the name uncultured bacterium. Its description in RNAcentral is "partial 16S ribosomal RNA". It matches the Rfam family "Bacterial small subunit ribosomal RNA", at positions 524 to 776 of the family's 1533-position model. The record is from RNAcentral.
UACGUAGGGGGCAAGCGUUGUCCGGAUUCAUUGGGCGUAAAGAGCGUGUAGGCGGCCAGGUAGGUCUGCUGUGAAAACUCGGGGCUCAACCCCGAGCCUGCAGUCGAUACGGGCAGACUAGAGUGCUGUAGGGGAGACUGGAAUUCCUGGUGUAGCGGUGAAAUGCGCAGAUAUCAGGAGGAACACCGGUGGCGAAGGCGGGUCUCUGGGCAGUAACUGACGCUGAGGAGCGAAAGCGUGGGGAGCGAACAGG